CUAUGCCAAGGGUGGACUGCAAACCAGGUUUGUGUUCUGCCAGCUGCCCACUUUUAGGCUUUGCCAACAGGAAGUUCUGAAAGGAGACAGAAACAGGAGGCGGGACUUCCUGUUCACUUCCUGUCUACUUCCUGCUUCUGGGAGCAUCACCAUGCCAACGCCUGUUUACCUGGCCAAGACAGUUUCUUUAUGUGGUCUCACUGAAUGCAGUUUAUAAUAAUGGAGGACAGACACUGAGCUGCCUCAUAAGAGGACUGAAUCUCAGCUUUGGAGAGCUUCCACUCAGUUUGGAGACCGCGGCAUUAACUGAGUAGUGUCCCCAUCUCAGAGGUCUGAAUUUCAGGUUGUUGGCAUCCUUCUUCUCUACUUUAAACUCAGUAAUUUACAAAUAUUUUCUUUGGUCUUCCAGCCUAGGGGUAGCAGGUACUUCUGACCAUUGCUACUUACCUAAAAAAUUAGCAUCAUCUAACCACCCCACUCCCAAUUUUCAGUUAUUAACAACUUCAUACCUGGUUAAGUUCUUUUUUCUAAAUUUACUACUUCAAUAUGUUUGACCAGGAAUGCUGCUUUCUUGGAGGAGUGGUUUGGGAGUGAGGGGAAGAGGCAAACAGUGGCAAGCCAUGUCAGAAGGCAUUUUCAAGAAGGCCUUUUCCACAUUGCUUUGCCAAAACCACCCCCGGGGCUCUCAGUGAACUCCAGAAGUCCAUAGUGUUGUUCUUCAGAUAGCCAAGAACCCUGGACUCACAAAUAUUAGUGAGGAAGAUCUUCCUUUUGGAACCCUGUGGAUAUUUCUCCAACCUGCAGACUAUUAGCAGUCUCAGACCAAGAAAAAGGAUUUUUAUUGGUGCAGUUGCCACUUAAAGAACAACAACAACAAAACAAAAUUUCUGAAGGGUAUUUUUCUUGCUUCACUCCUGUAAAGUUGUGGGAACAAAGGAACGACAGCUGAACUCCAAAAGAAGAUGGGGCCAUACCUGUGUGUUUCUGUCACUCCUUUGUUAAGGGGGGAAGGCUCUCAGGUUCUUAGUGAGCAAUGACCAGCUUUUUAUGAAUGGUUUUGCGGCAGGAGAGCACAGGUACAAACUCACAUGUUCUGGUUGAAAUAACUUCUUCCUUCUCAGAUAUUGCCAGCAUUUUUUUCUGCCUCACUUCCCAGAAUGAUUCAUUCUUAAGAAUAUGCUCCUAAUGAUGUUAUCUGAAUGUGUUCUCUAAUCUGAGAGCAGGAAACUGAAAGGUGAACGGUAGAGCCACCUGGUGCUCUCUACUUUGCGGAGAUUAAGGAAGAGGCUAAGCAGUUUCUUGGAUGUCCUGUGACUAUCAGAAAGUAUAUAUUUUUUGGAGGGGCUGAAAGAAGAUCGGGAAAUUUGUUGUUCACACAGCUGCUUCCAUGGAACUCACUCAGUCUUCCCUUGGAAACAGAAUAUACGCCCUAGCAAGAGAUCUUCCCCAUCCAGGGAAAUAAACUGUUAAAGGAGGAUUUUUAGAAUGGAUCGACAAAACAAAGAUCUUCCUUUGGAAGAUCUGGGAAGGCACCAUAAAGAGCUGGCGAGUCAUUGUGCAGGAGAGCCACAACUGUGACACUACCACACGGGCGCUGCACGCCAUAUUAAGGUCAAAAAUAUCUUCAUAGCAAGUGUGCGUGGAUUUUGAUCAUCUGGAUUCUCAACUGGACAACUCACCAACUGCAUACAGCACAUUCUGAGCAGGGAAGUAAGGUUAUCAGUGGAGCCUGUGGUCAGGCGGGAGAGCACAAAGUGGUGUGAUCUCCAUGACCCUGUUCUGUUCUUCCAGUACCAUCCGCGUCCCACUGUGGGAAGAACAUCUGCUCCACAAGCAAGUGUCAGUCACGGGAUGGAUACACCUCCCCUUGGACAAUGACAAGCUUUAUCUACUAUUAGGACUAGCCAGCUGCCUUAAACACGGGUCAGAUCAUAAAGUCUAUGUUUAAGCGACAAUUAGCACAAAGGAAAUAACAUCGUGGAACAGGCAGCCAAGAUGUGUCAUUGUUCAGGUCCUUAAAUGUUUUAAAAACAAGAUUCUAAGUCUGUUGUGAAAAAUAUACUUGCCCAGAUGUAAGGGUGAUAAGGUCUUAUGGUUAAUUACUGGGAUGUCGGAAAAGUGAUGACAUUUUGUUUUUCCGACAACCCAAUAAAAUAUUCUAAGUCACUCUUAAAAGUCUGAGCGAGACCGCAGAUUUACAACUGAUAUGGAAUGCUUACACUUAAAGUCAGUAUUGUUUUUGAGAUCUGUCUCUCCCUUGGAAUGAAUAAUUGGCCAAUUUUAUCCCCCCCACCUUAAUUUCAAAUGAAGAGUGUCUAAAGACUUAGAAAAACAAGAUUUCAAGUAGUUUUUUGCUUUCACAGUAAUGAGGUGAACACUUACUUUUACCAUCACAGGCUACAAUUUUCACUUUAUCCACUUUAAUCAGCUCUGUCACCUCUCUGAAUUCAACAUCAUUCAAUACAAAAGUCCACACAUUAUCGCAGAAUCUGUAUGUAUUUAGAGAGCCCUUGAAAACAAAACAUUUAGACACACCGUGAGAAAUCUUUUCCCCCCAAAGCCAUUUAAGAGAAGUCAGCUAUCAAUACAUAAUUCUUAAGAGCACGAUUAUUUAACAUACCAUAGAAUCCCCCUCCCCUUUAUUUAAACCCUAACAAACUGGUUAGUGUCUGAAGAGGGCUGAAUGAAAAUUUAAACCUGUGUUCCUGCUACCCCCAUGUGGCUAAAUUAUGAAAGUACAUUUGACUAUUUACUUAAAUAUUUUUUAAAGACAACGUAUUAUGUAUCCUGUGACUUAGUUACGAUAAAUUACUGUAUGCGCGAUUAAGACUACAUGAUGGUCCUAUGCAACAUUCUUCUAAUGAGUAAGUUUAUUUUCCUCUUAGAGGACUGAACCCCAGGGGUGAAAGUGGCUCUGCAAUAGUAGCAGCAAGGGGUCUGCUAGUGAAGGUUUUAAAAGGUGUUACUAGCAGGACUUGACAACUAAUUGGAUGAGGUGGUGGAGGGACAGAGGCACCUCAGAACAGAAGGAAAAAUUAGGGAACUACAGGUUUCCAAAGGAACUAAUCAGAAAUAUCACAAAUUAUGCAUCAGGUUUAACAAACUUGGCAAGAGAAGUUUUAGUGGAAUGGUGAGAUUAAUGCAUUAAAAAAGGGCAGUCAUAAAUGUCAAAAUAUUUUUUAAAAAUGACAUCUCCUUGGAUAAAAUCUGGGUCUUUAUAAGGCCGAUCUCCUUAUAAACUGACAUCCUUAAAUUUAUGUGUAAUCAAUGAUCCUGUGAGUGAGUAUGAUCUAAUGGGUAGAAGCAGUUGUGUAAAUUUGAACAAUGCAUGUCAUUGGGAUUAAUGGCUAGUGUGUGAAUAUUCACUUUCAAAAAUAUUUUGAAAUUCUACUAUAGUAUAAAUGUAUUUGCUUCAUAUCUAUCAUUUUAGACUUUAUUGGUGAACCCUUAAUAGUAAAUAACCUUUUUUAUUUUUCAGUUUGAAUUUAGCCACUAGUGACAAAGAACAAAAUUUUAGAUUUGUUUUUUAUGUUGUAUUCCAAAAGUUCCUUCUUAUGGUAAUAUCUGGCUUUGGUAAAGUAACUGAUUUUCAGUCAUUUGGCCAAAUGGUAGUAAAAAGAACAUCCAAAAAAGUUUAGAAGAACUCUUUCCUGACUGUUAAACUUCAAACAGUAAGCAAGUAUUAAAGUAAUCACAGCUCUCAAAAAUGUACAAUGGCUUUUUAAAAGACUAGUUACACAUAUUAGUUCAAUCUGUAUUUUCUCAUUAAGUUCCAAGGUCUUGUUAAUUUAUGUUGAAAUUUAUUAGUUAAAAAACAACAUAUAGUUACCAACUUUAGCUCUACUAUAUGAUCUAAGUUACAUGUUAUUCUAGAUAUAAAUUUAAAUUAUAAAUGAAUACAUAAAUGCGGUGUGGUAAUAACGGCUUUGAAAAUUACAUCUAUUACCAUUGUAUUUUUUUGCCUCACUUAACUUUGCUUAGUUUGGCAAAAAUUAUUUGUAAACAUUCUGGGACUUAAAACUGAUCAAGUUUGCUGUAAUAAAGAAGGAUAAGUAAUGGGAAAUAGCAAGAAUAAAAAAAAAUCUGGCCAAAAGUAAGUAUAGCUUUUGAAAAGUAGAAAAACUUACGAGGCGCUAUGCAAAAAAAUGCAAUUGUCAAAUUAUGUUCCAUUUUAGCUGAACAAUUAAAGGAUCAGAUUUCAACACAUGGUUUUAUACAAACAAAAGCAAACUAAUGUUCUAAGAAUCAAGAAUUCACCGAUAAACUUUUUACUCCAGAUGAAUUUCAGAUAUGUGAAAUAAGACUGCUAAUUGGGGCCUUGUAUGUAAAACACUGAAAUGUCUGUUGAAUAAAUAUUUUUCU
This is an RNA transcript of Talpa occidentalis (Iberian mole), 4362 nucleotides long. It is a transcript of the gene named glucosaminyl (N-acetyl) transferase 3, mucin type, with no coding region annotated. NCBI's taxonomy places the organism in Eukaryota, Metazoa, Chordata, Mammalia, Eulipotyphla, Talpidae. The record is from RefSeq and is a predicted model, not a curated record. The transcript has 5 exons.